AGGAUGAACGCUAGCGGCAGGCCUAACACAUGCAAGUCGAGGGGUAACAGGGAGCUUGCUCCGCUGACGACCGGCGCACGGGUGCGUAACGCGUAUACAAUCUACCUUUUGCUACGGGAUAGCCCAGAGAAAUUUGGAUUAAUACCGCAUAGUAUAUUGAGAUCGCAUGGUUUUAAUAUUAAAGGUUACGGCAGAAGAUGAGUAUGCGUUCUAUUAGCUAGAUGGUGUGGUAACGGCACACCAUGGCAACGAUAGAUAGGGGCCCUGAGAGGGGGAUCCCCCACACUGGUACUGAGACACGGACCAGACUCCUACGGGAGGCAGCAGUGAGGAAUAUUGGACAAUGGGCGAGAGCCUGAUCCAGCCAUGCCGCGUGCAGGAAGACGGCCCUAUGGGUUGUAAACUGCUUUUAUACAGGAAGAAACACCUCUACGUGUAGAGGCUUGACGGUACUGUAAGAAUAAGGAUCGGCUAACUCCGUGCCAGCAGCCGCGGUAAUACGGAGGAUCCAAGCGUUAUCCGGAAUCAUUGGGUUUAAAGGGUCCGUAGGUGGAUAAUUAAGUCAGGGGUGAAAGUCUGCAGCUCAACUGUAGAAUUGCCCUUGAUACUGGUUGUCUUGAGUCAUUAUGAAGUAGUUAGAAUAUGUAGUGUAGCGGUGAAAUGCAUAGAUAUUACAUAGAAUACCAAUUGCGAAGGCAGAUUACUAAUAAUGUACUGACACUGAUGGACGAAAGCGUGGGGAGCGAACAGGAUUAGAUACCCUGGUAGUCCACGCCGUAAACGAUGGAUACUAGCUGUUCGGAUUUAUC
RNAcentral lists this ribosomal RNA (809 nucleotides) under uncultured bacterium. Its description in RNAcentral is "bacterial SSU rRNA". It matches the Rfam family "Bacterial small subunit ribosomal RNA", at positions 26 to 834 of the family's 1533-position model. The record is from RNAcentral.